RNAcentral lists this long non-coding RNA (2344 nucleotides) under Salmo trutta (river trout). RNAcentral's name for it is "lncRNA (ENSSTUG00000034611.1)". Lineage: Eukaryota; Metazoa; Chordata; Actinopteri; Salmoniformes; Salmonidae. The record is from RNAcentral.
CUUCUCUACAAUUUGGCUCCUUACAAAUUAACAAAAUAAACACAAACUAGGAAAACAAAAUUAACAUUUCCAUUUUUGAUAACUCGGUGCUGCUGUUUUCUUCUCAGAUCAAAGAGCAUUGACUGACACUAUGGUAAUGUGAUGGACCUCCCUCGCUCUCCGGUGGCUCCACCCCUGGAGUCGUGUUUCCUGCGUCCGGCGAGGCCAGCCAACCGUCGUCCCCCCUCCCGCUGGGCAGCCCCCUCCUCCCACCGAGGCUGGCGCGACGUCACAGAGCGGAGGCUCACCUUCCCCAUGGUGACUGGGACCAGUAAGACUGGGACAGGGUCCACCUCUAUACCGGACCUGGACGAGACUGGACCAGCAGAAUCAUGACAGGAACCAUCACCAUACCCUUGUCCUCCUUAUCUCCCUUUACUCGCUCCACUCUCUGUCUCUCCUGUGAAACCCUGCCAGUACCUCAGACCCAUCUUUCCUAGUCCUCCUCUACUCCCUCUCCUCCCUCCCGCUUCUCUCCUCCCUCCUCUCUCCCGCUUCUCUCCUCCCUCCCGCUUCUCUCCUCCCUCCUCUCCUGCUUCUCUCCUCUUUUCCUCCUCCUCUCCUCUUCUCCUCCCUCCUCUCUCCUGAUGGAACUGUCCACACUCUAUCCUCCUCCACUCUUCCUUACUCCUCCUCUCUCCUAGUCCUCUUCUCCACUCCUCCAUACUACUCCUCUCUCCUGCUCCUCCCUCCCCUCCUCUUCUCCUGAACAGACAGGGUACCUCAGACCACCCCCCCCCCCCCACUCUCGUAGGGAUUCGUAGGGGGUGGGAGAUUUGUAACAGGGUUGAGCCCCUGUAGCACCAGCUAACCAACCAGGAACUCAACAGAACUGGAACUUAAAACUUUGAACUCCGGAAUGAAAAGAACCUGGAUAGUACUGUAACAACAAAAACAAUGACAUCAUCCAAACAUUACCAUCAGAUGUGCCUCUACUUGAUUUACUCAUAGUUCCACAUGUGUGUAUAUAUAUGUAUGCAAUACAUACAUACAUAUAUAUCUAUAUACAGUACCAAUCAAAAGUUUGGACACACCUACUCAUUCAAGGGUUUUUCUUUAUUUUUACUAUUUUCUACAUUGUAGAAUAAUAGUGAAGACAUCAACACUAUGAAAUAACACAUAUGGAAUCAUGUAGUAACCAAAAAAGUGUUAUAAAAUAUAUUUGUUUAUUUGAGAUUCUUCAAAGUAGCCACCCUUUGCCUUGAUGACAGCUUUGCACACUCUUGACAUUCUCUCAACCAGUUUCACCUGGAAUACUUUUCCAAAAGUCUUGAACGAGUUCCUACAUAUGCUGAUGCUUUUCCUUCACUCUGCGGUUCAACUCAUCCCAAACCAUCUCAAUUGGGUUGAGGUCGGGUGAUUGUGGUGACCAGGUCAUCUAAUGCAGCACUCCAUCACUCUCCUUCUUGGUCAAAUAGCCCUUACACAGCCUGGAGGUGUGUUGAAGAGUGAGUGAAGGAAAAGCAUCCAACAAGUGCUCAGCAUAUGUGGGAACUCCUUCAAGACUAUUGGAAAAGUAUUCCUCAUGAAGCUGGUUGUGCAAAGUUGUCAUCAAGGCAAAGGGUGGCUACUUUGAAGACUCUCGAAUAUAAAAUAUAUUUUUGAUUUGUUUAACACUUUUUUUGUUGGUUACUACAUGAUUCCAUAUGUGUUAUUUCAUGGUUUUGAUGUCUUCACUAUUAUUCUACAAUGUAGAAAAUAGUAAAAAUAAAGAAAAACCCUUGAAUGAGUAGGUGUGUCCAAACUUUUGACUGGUACUGUAUAUAUAUAUAUUAGUCAUAUAAUAAACGCAUUUUCAGAUGUCGAGAGAACUAUAAAACCGUUAUCCUAAUACCAGUAUGAACAUAAAGGUAUACACAUUUUCUGUUGGUUUAUGUUUUUGUUUAUUCUGCAUAUACGUAUCAUUUGUUAUAUUCUGUGCUGUGUGUAAAUACUCUUAAACUAUUUUCUUAUUCAGUUAAACAUAUCUUAUGUUAUUGUUUGUUCCUUUGAAGCUUGAAGUCAGACUACUCACUUGUAUAAUAAACAAACAAACAAAUGUUUUAAGACAAAAAAAAUAAAAAAAAUACUGCUUCCUGUUGGCUGAGGCAGGUGAAUCCAUGAUGUCAGUUACGAUGCUAAUAUAUGUAUUUCUAUAUGUUUGAAAUGAAUGUUCAACUCUGUAAACGUGUAGAAGAAGAGAGGGAAGAUAGCAACUGAGUAACCCUUAUGCAUAUGUGGAAGGAAGUUGUAACAAUUAUCAGUUACAUAGGCUGCUAUCCCAAAUGGCAUCCUAUUCACAUAGGGAAAGGGGGGAGGGGGGGUG